AUCCUAUGCUGAGGGCAGGCCAAGAGGUAGUCUUAGAAGCGCUCCCAUGCCUCAGGGAUUGACUUAUCUGAUGCCUGCUGGAAGAUGGUAAUCCUUGAGGGA
This 102-nucleotide small nucleolar RNA is filed under the name Dichanthelium oligosanthes. RNAcentral describes it as "Plant small nucleolar RNA R71". It matches the Rfam family "Plant small nucleolar RNA R71". From Rfam's summary of the family: R71 is a member of the C/D box family of snoRNAs containing the C (UGAUGA) and D (CUGA) box motifs. Multiple nearly identical copies of this snoRNA have been identified in Arabidopsis, and it is thought to function as a 2'-O-ribose methylation guide for 18S ribosomal RNA. Lineage: Eukaryota; Viridiplantae; Streptophyta; Magnoliopsida; Poales; Poaceae. The record is from Rfam by way of RNAcentral.